Molecule: RNA transcript, 3611 nt
Organism: Pygocentrus nattereri (red-bellied piranha)
Lineage: Eukaryota; Metazoa; Chordata; Actinopteri; Characiformes; Serrasalmidae
Gene: ipo13a
Gene name: importin-13
Exons: 23
Source: RefSeq, a predicted model, not a curated record
CGAUUGGCUAGCAGCCUGGCUGCGACGCACUUCUAGCCAAUCCUAGCACGGUGGGGGCGUGGUCUGUCGGAAUUCGGGUGGGGAGAAAGUAACAUAGGCAUAACGGCACUGUGAGUGACCGUUGAAGAAGAUUCGGCAGAGAGAGCGCGGCGAAAAACAGGUUCACGACAAAACCAGUAAAAGGAGAUGAAAACAUUGUGAAAGGACUUUUUCAGCGUGGAAAAUUGUGGAAAAUGUCCUCGGCUCCGGUACAGCAGCCCUCAGAGUCGGCGGAGUUCUCGGUGGAGGCGGUGGAGCGGGCCCUGCAGCAGCUGUACUAUGAUCCAGACAUGGCCCAAAAAAACGUGGCCCAGGAGUGGCUGACCCAGGCCCAGGCCUCGCCGCAAGCCUGGCACUUCUGCUGGGCUCUGCUCAGCCCAGAUAAGGUUCCUGAGAUCCAGUUUUUUGGGGCCAGUACACUGCACACUAAAAUCUCCCGCCACUGGACGGAUCUCCCAGCUGAGCAGCAUGAAUCUCUGCGCUCUCAGCUCAUCGCUCAGGUAGGCCAUUUCUCCUGCGGGCCGAAGAUGGUUCUGACACGGCUCUGCGUGGCCCUGGCAUCCCUGAUCCUCCACACUCUGCUGGACAGCUGGACCACCGCUGUCCCGGACCUCCUGAGGGCAUUCCAGGGCGGUGAGGGGUCAGCAGAGGUGGACAUCCGGUACCAGGCACUGCUGGAGGUUCUAGUGGUUCUGCCCGAGGAGCUCCAGACGAGGAAGCUGUCGGCAGAGCGUCGAGCUCAGCUACAAAGUGCGUUAACCAGAGAGUGGAGCUCAUUGUGCCCCCUACUGCGGCAGAUACUGCGGAGAGAGGAAGCAGCAGGACCGGUGAAGGAGCGUGUGCUGCGCUGCCUCGUGUCGUGGCUGGCUCUGGACGUGGAUCUGGGUGAAAGCGAAGGUCUCCUGCAGGACAGCUUCACUCUGCUGAGGGAGCCCGAGCUUUUUGACACGGCUGUGGAGACCAUCGUGAGCACCAUCUCACAACACGACAGCCAGAGGUUUGCUGACAGUCUGCUGAAGAUGCUGCCCCAGGUGCUGGCCCUUCAGGAGCAGCUGACGAAGGCCGUGCAGGACAGAGACAUGGAGACGUCUCACGGAAUCUGUCGCAUCGCUGUGGCGCUCGGGGAGACUCACUGCAGGGCUCUUCUGGAGCAGGUAGACCACUGGCAAGGAUUCCAGGCUUUAGUCAACAUGAUUCUCUCCUGCACUGGGAUGCCUGGACAUUACCCAGUGGACGAAACCUCCAGCUCACUCACGCUCACAUUCUGGUACACGCUACAGGACGACAUCAUGUCUCUCGACACAGAGAAGCAAACGCUGUACCUGCAGGUUUACAGACCACUUUACUUCCAGCUGGUGGAGGUGCUGCUGCAUAAGGCUCGCUUCCCCAGUGACCCGGAUUUUGCCCUGUGGUCCGCUGACGACAAGGAGCAGUUCAGGAUCUACAGGGUUGACAUCUCCGACACGCUGAUGUACGUGUAUGAGCUGCUGGGCCCAGAGCUGCUGCGCAACCUUUACGAUAAACUCGGCGUGAUGCUCACAGACAAAACUCACCCGUCCUCGUGGCAGGAUAUAGAGGCUCUCCUGUUUGGCUUCCAGUCCAUUGCUGAAACAGUGGACAUCAGUUACUCUGAUGUGAUUCCUGGUCUGCUCGGACUGAUCCCCCUCAUCACCGCCGACAGCAUCCACCUGGCAGAGACCAUCAUGUUGACUAUAGGCUCCCUGGCGGAGUGGUUGGCUGAUCACCCUCUCAUGCUGCCUGGCGUCCUGCGUCUGGUGCUCCAGACUCUGUCCAACGCUGACCUCUCCGUAGCCACCGUCUCCACCCUGAAGAGGAUCUGUCGUGAGUGCCGCCACAGCCUGAGGCCCCACGCGAACGACAUCCUGACCGCUUUGCAGGAGGUGCUGGUUAAACAGAUUCAUAAGAGCACUCAGAGUAUGUGGCUGAUGCAGGCUCUGGGUUAUCUGCUGUCGUCUCUGCCUGAUGAAGAGGUUCUGGGGAAACUCCUCUCUCUGCUCUCUCCACACAUCCAGCAGCUGGAGAGACUGGCCAAUGAGAUGCCCAGUCCAGCUAGUAAACUCUCCACUGUGCACAUUCUGGGCCUCCUUUCCAGCCUCUUCUCUACUUUAGACCUGAACGCUCAAGGAGAAGGACAGGAGGACGUCAGAGCUGCCCGCUCUCAGCCUCGCACCAACCCGGUUGUAGUCGUGCUACAGCAAGUUUUCCCUCUCAUCCAGAACCUGCUAAGUAAGUGGGUGAAGGAGGCCGAGGUGGUGAAGGCUGCUUGUGCUGUUUUUGAGAAAUCCCUGAAGACCCUUAUUCGUGAUUUUGCCCCUCUGGUGUCUCAACUCUGUGAGCUGAUUGGCCAGUUGUUCAGUGCUUACCCCCAAGCCUGUGCUUUGGACCUCACAGGACAGCUGGUUCAUGUAUUUGCCUGUGAGAAGGAACAUUUCCCACCAAUCACUGCUCUGCUGGAACUCGUCACGAGCAUCACCAUGUCCAUGUUUCAGCACGGCGCCCGAGAUCAUCCUGACGUGGCCGAUUCAUUCAUGCAGCUUCAUACUCAGGUUCUGAAGAGGAAAGCAGACGUGUAUCUUUCAGAGGGUCUCGACGUCAAAGUUGUUUUCUACUGUGGUGGGCAUUUAGGGAUUCUAUCAUUCAAAUUCCCAGAGACGCCCACUGUGAAGGCCACAUGCUCAUUAUUCACGGAGCUGAUCUCUCACUGCGAGGACGUCCCGGCGGUGAGGGAGGUGCUGCAAGAGGAUGGACUGCUGCUGCUUCAGACCCUGCUGGAGGCUGUCAGUGGUCAGUCCUGUAGCCUGCUGGAGCUCCUGUCUGAGGUGUUCUUCUCCAUGAGCCGUCACUGCCCCAGCCUGCUCUCGCUCCAGCUCAGAGACGCCCUGCAGCCCCCGGGGUUCCCCAGCGCGCUCCUCACCCCGGAGCAGAAAGAACACUUCUGCCAGCAGAUCCUCAGGGAACAGGUGAGUAAGUGGAAGGUGAGGGACGUGGUGAAGGACUUCUCUCUGCUGUGUCGAGGCCUGCAGUGAGCCGCGAGCUGCUGAACAGUCGGUGUCCUUCACAAAAGACCCGCCGGGUGAAGGGGCUCGACCUGCACUGCUCUGAAUGUGAUGAAAUGCAGUCAGUAAUGAUUGUUAUAAGACGCAUAAAAGAAACAGGACAAAGCAACACAGUCAUUCAGUAAUCGAACCCUUUUGAGAUGAUUCUCAUAAACUACUGACAGCAUCACUGCAGUAGUGUGUUUAUUUCAUACGGUUAUCUGUCAGAUAACAUGAUCUUAUUUUCAUAUGCACAUAUAAAAUACUGAAAAUAUCAGAAGGGGUUGUUGUGCAACAGCCUCAUGAGUGUAGACCAUCACAACAGGCAUGUAGUUCAGACCGUUUCUCUCAGCUUAUCUUGCAGAACACCGUCCGUUUGGUCGUCCACAUCAUACAGUAACAGAGACAGAAGACACAGACAUAAAACCGGGGGCUCACUGGUGGGGGGGGGUGUUUAAUGAGGGGAGGACGCUGCUUUAGGAGGUGUGGGGAGACAUCAUCAUCCUCAGUAGAAAA